RNAcentral lists this signal recognition particle RNA (98 nucleotides) under Borrelia sp. CA_690. RNAcentral's name for it is "signal recognition particle sRNA small type". It matches the Rfam family "Bacterial small signal recognition particle RNA". From Rfam's summary of the family: The signal recognition particle (SRP) is a universally conserved ribonucleoprotein involved in the co-translational targeting of proteins to membranes. Archaeal SRP consists of a 7S RNA and homologues of the eukaryotic SRP19 and SRP54 proteins. In most bacteria, the SRP consists of a 4.5S RNA and the Ffh protein (a homologue of the eukaryotic SRP54 protein). The record is from RNAcentral. RNAcentral also lists the same sequence under 1 other name. Lineage: Bacteria; Pseudomonadati; Spirochaetota; Spirochaetia; Spirochaetales; Borreliaceae.
UCCUAGGGCCCGUACUAUCAAAUGUUGCUAAACCCCGUCAGGACUGGAAGGUAGCAGCGGUAGGCAAUUUUUUGGUGAGUACGCAAGUCUUAGGUUUA